Molecule: long non-coding RNA, 358 nt
Organism: Gossypium arboreum
Lineage: Eukaryota; Viridiplantae; Streptophyta; Magnoliopsida; Malvales; Malvaceae
Exons: 2
Source: RefSeq, a predicted model, not a curated record
AAAUUAUAAAUAAAAAUAUGGUCAAAACUCAAAAGUUAAAACAGCUAAGAUCUUUGAUCUUUCCCUUACCCGUGUAAACUACAAACCCUAUAUUUUAUCCCUUUCCCUUUGCUUUUGGUUUUGAAAAAACCCAAUUCUUAUAUUCAUUAUUCUGUUCUUAAUUUUGGUUUUGAUUUUUCUAUGUUCUUUCUUCAAUACAUUACAGAAGCAUUUGGUCGUCUCGUCUACUCGUCUCUCCAAGUCCAAACUGUUGUUGGUAACUUGGUAUGGAGAGUGGAGACUGGAGAAUCGGAGAUGGCUCUUUGGGGUUUGGGCUAAGGAGAUGGUGGCCAAUACUGUUUCAUGGUGGAGGGGGACC